UUUUCUUUUUUUUUUUCCCUCUUCUUUUUUGCGGGAUGACUAGGGACAGAAGGUUGGUGGUUAUUACGGUAGGAGCACAAUAUAGGAAAUUAUUUUGAUCCCUAUGUUCUUUCACUUUCACUUCAUAUCACUUCAAAUAAAAAAAAACUGUUGUUUUUUCCUCUCCUCGUGGACACAUGUCCACGUCCUCUUUAAA
This 196-nucleotide non-coding RNA is filed under the name Amorphochlora amoebiformis. Lineage: Eukaryota; Cercozoa; Chlorarachniophyceae. The record is from RNAcentral.